UAAGCAUAUCAAUAAGCGGAGGAAAAGAAACUAACAAGGAUUCCCCUAGUAACUGCGAGUGAAGCGGGAAAAGCUCAAAUUUAAAAUCUGGCGGCUUUUGGCUGUCCGAGUUGUAGUCUGGAGAAGUGCUUUCCGCGCUGGACCGUGUACAAGUCUCUUGGAACAGAGCGUCAUAGAGGGUGAGAAUCCCGUCUUUGACACGGACUACCAGUGCUUUGUGAUGCGCUCUCAAAGAGUCGAGUUGUUUGGGAAUGCAGCUCAAAAUGGGUGGUAAAUUCCAUCUAAAGCUAAAUAUUGGCGAGAGACCGAUAGCGAACAAGUACCGUGAGGGAAAGAUGAAAAGCACUUUGGAAAGAGAGUUAAACAGUACGUGAAAUUGCUGAAAGGGAAACGCUUGAAGUCAGUCGCGUUGACCAGAACUCAGCCUUGCUUUUGCUUGGUGCACUUUCUGGUUGACGGGCCAGCAUCAAUUUUGAUUGUUGGAUAAAGGCUGGGGGAAUGUGGCACCUUCGGGUGUGUUAUAGCCCUCGGUCACAUACAACAGUUGGGAUUGAGGAUCUCAGCACGCCUUUAUGGUCGGGGUUCGCCCACGUUCGUGCUUAGGAUGCUGGCAUAAUGGCUUUAAACGACCCGUCUUGAAACACGGACCAAGGAGUCUAACAUGCCUGCGAGUGUUUGGGUGGAAAACCCGAGCGCGUAAUGAAAGUGAAAGUUGAGAUCCCUGUCAUGGGGAGCAUCGACGCCCGGACCUGACCUUCUGUGACGGCUCCGCGGUAGAGCAUGUAUGUUGGGACCCGAAAGAUGGUGAACUAUGCCUGAAUAGGGUGAAGCCAGAGGAAACUCUGGUGGAGGCUCGUAGCGAUUCUGACGUGCAAAUCGAUCGUCAAAUUUGGGUAUAGGGGCGAAAGACUAAUCGAACCAUCUAGUAGCUGGU
Molecule: ribosomal RNA, 934 nt
Filed under: Adustoporia sinuosa
Lineage: Eukaryota; Fungi; Basidiomycota; Agaricomycetes; Polyporales; Adustoporiaceae
Description: LSU rRNA
Rfam family: Eukaryotic large subunit ribosomal RNA
Source: RNAcentral